GCCGUUGUGGUGGAAUUGGUAGACACGAGGGACUUAAAAUCCCUUGGGCGUAUAGCCCAUGCCGGUUCGAUUCCGGCCAACGGCA
Molecule: transfer RNA, 85 nt
Filed under: Candidatus Margulisiibacteriota bacterium
Lineage: Bacteria; Bacillati; Candidatus Margulisiibacteriota
Description: Candidatus Margulisbacteria bacterium (hot springs metagenome) tRNA-Leu
Rfam family: tRNA
About the family: Transfer RNA (tRNA) molecules are approximately 80 nucleotides in length.
Source: RNAcentral